CAUUAUUUUUAAAUGUUUUUUUUUGUUCUUGGGCCAGGGGUUUUAAUGGUACUCCUCUCCCUUUUUGGAAUGAUUUUCAGAAACAUGAGCCUUAAUCCAGUGCCUGCUCCUUGAGUUUAGGGCUGGGCUCACAGGCGCCUUGAGGCCUACUUUUUGGGGUGAAGCCCUUUUUGAGUUUAAUGACUUGGUGACACAUAAUAAAAUCACAGGGUGUGUGUUGCCUUGUUUUUAUUUGUUUGGGUGGGGGGUCAUUUUUUGAUCAGCUUGGCUUUGAACUUUGGCUACAGUUCUGCAAUUCCCUUUAGAUGACGUGGUCGCUAGUUACUUUGCCUUCCGUUGCUCAGAUGUACUCCAACAUGAGUGGACUUGAGGUCUGAGGUCCCCCCUUUUUCUGUAUGAGUGACCAUGUGACCCCACCUAUGAAGGGUGCCCUCUCCUGAUUAGUACCCAGCAGUGCAAAGUUCCCACAGUCAGGUUUGUGACUUCAGGCUGUCACAUCUGGUGAUACAUUAUGGGGGCCUUCCCACUGCAGAAACGUUUUUCAGGAAUCAGAGACUUUCUGGCAAAUUGUGGCAUUCCCACCGCAGGAGCUCAGGCCAUUUGUCGUUCCUGGUACUUGUUUUAGCUCCUCCUUCUGGGUGUGUACUUUUCGUUCAACCAGGAUCUCUCGUGGGUGGGGCUCAGCUGAUGAUUUGUGCUGAUUGGUUGAUCACCAGCACUGGUGACAACUUACAAAUGUGUUCCUCGUUUGGUGCGCCGUGAUGUGCAACACAUCGAAGCGAUAAUCUCCUCCGUGAAGUCCCAAACGCCUCAAAGCAAUAAGGUGCAGGUGAACUCCUAACCGCUCCAUACUUCACAUCCCGUCCCUCUUCAUAGCUGCCUCUCUAGCACACUUCAUUGAAGCGAUCAUCUCCCCACUGAAGGCCAGAGCACCUCAAAGCAAUAGGCGGGGUCUCCCUUGAACUUCUGAACGCACCUCACUUCACCCUGCUUCACUCAUUUUUAUGUUCCACACAUCAUAUUUUAGGUCACAGUUCCGGUUUCUGUCGUGGGAACACAACACACAAAAGUGGUAAGGGACCACAAGGGGUGCAGGGUCUUCAUCACACAGGAACUCAUUGGUUCCUGAAUAUCGAGUUCCUGUGGUGGGCCAGCACUUUAUGUUUUAAUGUACUAGCUACACCUUGCUGUUGAAGACACAUAAUGGAAUAAAUUUAAAAA
Erpetoichthys calabaricus (reedfish) is the source of this 1221-nucleotide long non-coding RNA. RefSeq lists it as uncharacterized. Lineage: Eukaryota; Metazoa; Chordata; Cladistia; Polypteriformes; Polypteridae. The transcript has 2 exons. The record is from RefSeq and is a predicted model, not a curated record.